GAUGAAGAACGCAGCGAAAUGCGAUACGUAGUGUGAAUUGCAGAAUUCAGUGAAUCAUCGAAUCUUUGAACGCACAUUGCGCCCCUUGGUAUCCCGAGGGGCAUGCCUGUUCGAGCGUCAUUUCACCACUCAAGCCUGGCUUGGUGUUGGGCGACGUCCCCUUUGGGGACGCGCCUCGAAACGCUCGGCGGCGUGGCACCGGCUUUAAGCGUAGCAGAAUCUUUCGCUUUGGAAGUCGGGGCCCCGUCUGCCGGAAGACCUACUCGCAAGGUUGACCUCGGAUCAGGCAGGGAUACCCGCUGAACUUAAGCAUAUCAAUAAGCGGAGGA
Molecule: unclassified non-coding RNA, 329 nt
Filed under: soil metagenome
Description: partial contains 5.8S ribosomal RNA, internal transcribed spacer 2, and large subunit ribosomal RNA
Rfam family: 5.8S ribosomal RNA (bases 1-120)
Source: RNAcentral